UGGACAAUGGGCGAAAGCCUGAUCCAGCAAUGCCGCGUGAGUGAUGAAGGCCUUAGGGUUGUAAAGCUCUUUUACCCGGGAUGAUAAUGACAGUACCGGGAGAAUAAGCCCCGGCUAACUCCGUGCCAGCAGCCGCGGUAAUACGGAGGGGGCUAGCGUUGUUCGGAAUUACUGGGCGUAAAGCGCACGUAGGCGGCUUUGUAAGUUAGAGGUGAAAGCCCGGGGCUCAACUCCGGAACUGCCUUUAAGACUGCAUCGCUAGAACCCCGGAGAGGUGAGUGGAAUUCCGA
Molecule: ribosomal RNA, 290 nt
Filed under: uncultured Rhodospirillaceae bacterium
Lineage: Bacteria; Pseudomonadati; Pseudomonadota; Alphaproteobacteria; Rhodospirillales; Rhodospirillaceae
Description: partial 16S ribosomal RNA
Rfam family: Bacterial small subunit ribosomal RNA
Source: RNAcentral